UGCAAGUCGAGCGGACAGAUGGGAGCUUGCUCCCUGAUGUUAGCGGCGGACGGGUGAGUAACACGUGGGUAACCUGCCUGUAAGACUGGGAUAACUCCGGGAAACCGGGGCUAAUACCGGAUGGUUGUUUGAACCGCAUGGUUCAAACAUAAAAGGUGGCUUCGGCUACCACUUACAGAUGGACCCGCGGCGCAUUAGCUAGUUGGUGAGGUAACGGCUCACCAAGGCGACGAUGCGUAGCCGACCUGAGAGGGUGAUCGGCCACACUGGGACUGAGACACGGCCCAGACUCCUACGGGAGGCAGCAGUAGGGAAUCUUCCGCAAUGGACGAAAGUCUGACGGAGCAACGCCGCGUGAGUGAUGAAGGUUUUCGGAUCGUAAAGCUCUGUUGUUAGGGAAGAACAAGUACCGUUCGAAUAGGGCGGUACCUUGACGGUACCUAACCAGAAAGCCACGGCUAACUACGUGCCAGCAGCCGCGGUAAUACGUAGGUGGCAAGCGUUGUCCGGAAUUAUUGGGCGUAAAGGGCUCGCAGGCGGUUUCUUAAGUCUGAUGUGAAAGCCCCCGGCUCAACCGGGGAGGGUCAUUGGAAACUGGGGAACUUGAGUGCAGAAGAGGAGAGUGGAAUUCCACGUGUAGCGGUGAAAUGCGUAGAGAUGUGGAGGAACACCAGUGGCGAAGGCGACUCUCUGGUCUGUAACUGACGCUGAGGAGCGAAAGCGUGGGGAGCGAACAGGAUUAGAUACCCUGGUAGUCCACGCCGUAAACGAUGAGUGCUAAGUGUUAGGGGGUUUCCGCCCCUUAGUGCUGCAGCUAACGCAUUAAGCACUCCGCCUGGGGAGUACGGUCGCAAGACUGAAACUCAAAGGAAUUGACGGGGGCCCGCACAAGCGGUGGAGCAUGUGGUUUAAUUCGAAGCAACGCGAAGAACCUUACCAGGUCUUGACAUCCUCUGACAAUCCUAGAGAUAGGACGUCCCCUUCGGGGGCAGAGUGACAGGUGGUGCAUGGUUGUCGUCAGCUCGUGUCGUGAGAUGUUGGGUUAAGUCCCGCAACGAGCGCAACCCUUGAUCUUAGUUGCCAGCAUUCAGUUGGGCACUCUAAGGUGACUGCCGGUGACAAACCGGAGGAAGGUGGGGAUGACGUCAAAUCAUCAUGCCCCUUAUGACCUGGGCUACACACGUGCUACAAUGGACAGAACAAAGGGCAGCGAAACCGCGAGGUUAAGCCAAUCCCACAAAUCUGUUCUCAGUUCGGAUCGCAGUCUGCAACUCGACUGCGUGAAGCUGGAAUCGCUAGU
RNAcentral lists this ribosomal RNA (1300 nucleotides) under Bacillus subtilis. RNAcentral describes it as "bacterial SSU rRNA". It matches the Rfam family "Bacterial small subunit ribosomal RNA", at positions 56 to 1339 of the family's 1533-position model. The record is from RNAcentral. Lineage: Bacteria; Bacillati; Bacillota; Bacilli; Caryophanales; Bacillaceae.